RNAcentral lists this ribosomal RNA (253 nucleotides) under uncultured bacterium. RNAcentral's name for it is "partial 16S ribosomal RNA". It matches the Rfam family "Bacterial small subunit ribosomal RNA", at positions 524 to 776 of the family's 1533-position model. The record is from RNAcentral.
UACGGGGGGGGCAAGCGUUGUUCGGAAUUACUGGGCGUAAAGGGCGCGUAGGCGGCCGAUUAAGUCGGGGGUGAAAGCCUGUGGCUCAACCACAGAAUUGCCUUCGAUACUGGUUGGCUUGAGACCGGAAGAGGACAGCGGAACUGCGAGUGUAGAGGUGAAAUUCGUAGAUAUUCGCAAGAACACCAGUGGCGAAGGCGGCUGUCUGGUCCGGUUCUGACGCUGAGGCGCGAAAGCCAGGGGAGCAAACGGG